Long non-coding RNA from Cervus elaphus (red deer), 3903 nucleotides. RefSeq lists it as uncharacterized. The transcript has 5 exons. Lineage: Eukaryota; Metazoa; Chordata; Mammalia; Artiodactyla; Cervidae. The record is from RefSeq and is a predicted model, not a curated record.
CACACGCGCGCACGGACGACACGCAGCCCGCGGCCGCCGCGUCCCGCUGCCGCGCGCCCGCAGCCCGGCCAAGCCGCGGGGCCCGAGCCACCGCGCCGGCGGGGCCGCGGCGCGCGGAAGCCACUCUGCACGGGCAAGCGUCGGGCACAAGUUAGUUCCUCGGCUCCGGGGCCUCGGAGCCGCGGGGACGAAACGCCGAGGGCGCCGAGGAGGCGGGGAGGGGGGCGCCGAGGGGGCACAAGAGUGGGGGAAAAGUGCGGAAAGAAGCAACAGCCGCUCCCCCCCGAGCCCAGAAAAGUGGGCGCCGCGUCCCGGCCGCCCGCCCGCGCCGGGGAUGCGGCGGCGGCGGCGGCUAACGGUCCAGCGAGGCGGCAGGGGCGGCGGGAGCCGCUAGGCGGAGAGACCAGUUUUCUCAUUUGGAGCUCCUCACCUCUGAGCCUGGAAGGAGUUGCAGGUGAGGACAGAAUGGUCAUCCUCCACCCCUAGCUCAGCCCUCGGGCCACCAGCCAGCAGGCCAAAGCACCCAACUAAGGAAACUUGAGACCAUGAGAAGCCACUGGAAGUCUGUGAACAGGAGAAUGACAUUGUAACAUGACAAAAGGGGACGCCGGUUUGAUUCCUGGUCCAGGAAUUAAGACCCCACAUGCCGCAGAACAACUAAACCCACUUGAGCCCUCUGGAGCCUAUAUGCUACAAGAGAGUCUCUGUGCCACAAUGAAAGAUCCAGAAUGCCGCAGCUAAGACCUGAUGCAGCCAGACUGAGCAACACGAAAAAGAAAAAAAAAUUACAGCGCGUGCAUGGGAAACAUUCUUCCCUUUUUUCUUGAGUAACGGACACGUUGGAGAGCCAGCGUUGAGUAAGGGGCGAUGGCUUUGCUGUGAUAAACACAAAAAAGCAUCCAGGGCCUGGCCUACCCUGAGCCCAGGCAGGAAAUUCAAGGGUAAUAUAACACUUUACUGUUAAGUAAUACCAUUGGAAUAAAACCAUGUUUGGGAUGACUUUUGGCUCUCACUUGGAAUUUCUGUUUCAUUUGCUUCCAGAAAGAACUCUUCCCCCAUAAAGUUCUUAACUUGCAUUUCAAAAGAUUUUGUAGCUGUAUAAAUAGGAUGUAUGUCAUAGAACACGCAGAAAAACACAUCCAAUCCAGGACCUUGGUUUUCAGGAUGGACUCCAGGGCAGCAGCUUCAAGCAGUGGAAGUGCAAUUCACAGGUUAGAGACCUCAUUCUGCUCCCUGCUAGCAGUGUGACCUUGCAUGGAUUCUUUGACCUUGGAGCCAGUAAAAGAGGAAAAACAAUAGUACCCACUCAGAGGGUUUUGUGAGGAUAAAAUGCAAGAAUAUGAAAGGCUCGGUGCUAGCCUGCCAUACAGCUUUUUCCUUCUUUCCCCGGCUUCAUAACUGAGCUGGGCAUGACUGGCCUCAGCGUAGAAAAAGACUAAAAUGGAAAACCAGAAUUUAUUUUUGUCUGAAUAACUUGGCCAUGGUUGGACUGUUUUUCCCUGUUGGUUUUAAGCCAUAUUUCUCCAGUGCUGCCUCCUAGGCUGAAUUUCUGCAUGAUUGAAACACCAUCUUCAGUUUCAGAGGAACUCAGGUGAACUGAAGCAUCUCUACAUAACUCGGAUGGUGCAGGAAUCAGACCCACGGGACAGACUGGUGAAGGAUCUGCAGGCGUUUAGCUGGGAGAAGACUGGGGUUGAGGAUGUGGGGAGUGUCUCCAAACAUCUGAAGGGUAAUAUCAUGUGAAAGAGAAAUUUGAUUAAUUCUCCAUGGUUCCGUAAGUGGAGACAGGUUCCAGUUUUAUGGAUAGAAAACCUUUUAAAAAAAAUAUCAGAUUGUCAAGGAAAGAUGCUGUCUUCUGAUGUAAGGAAUUCCAGAGGGAUCCUAGCAGGGAGUAGUUCUUCACUCCCUGGGAGUCCUACAGGGUAUUCUGCAUCAGAAAAAGAGCUGAGUAAGCGCCCUAUCAGGUUCUUUUCAGGUCAGGGGGGCUGCAGCUCAGGUAGCUACAGAAAUGCAACAUUUUGCUGCAGGCACUUAAGGAAGCAGUCCUAGGAGCUGCAAGGAGCUCACAGAUUGCGCUUAUGUGAGAAUUUUAACCUUUCAUAACAAAAAUAUCAUGCCACAUUGGGGGGAAAAAAGCCUUUAACCCGCUAGAAAGGAAAACGUUCCUAGUUUAGGUAUCAUAUUUUACAGUUUCCAUCAUAUUUUACAGGUUCCUGUAGACACAGGGACCAAAUGAAACUAAACCACGAUCUUGGGCAUCAAAUUACACUUCACUUUUACCUUUUCCCCCUGUGAUUCUGACAUAAGUGAUUAAAAAUGAACCCGAACCUUUGACCUACCCAUUUGGUUUUGUUUUUUUUUUCUCUCCUCUUUCUGUUCACCUGCAAACCUCUGUCUGCUAGUCGUUUCAUACAGCCUUGGUCAACUGCUUUCAACAGCUAGACAUUAAAGCCACUGAGAGCAUAAACAGGAAGCUGGUGUUUAGGUGGGAGUUCCUAGGAAUUUUAUACCACUGACCACAGAGGCCAAGAGAGAAAGGAAAUAGGAAAAACAGUGUAAAUACCUGGGUGACUAAUGACGCGCAGCUCAGCUGGCUUUUUUGAACAGUUAACAGGAAGUCUUUCCAGGGGAAACACCCUGCACAUUUUUCGGGACCCCGCGUGGCACUGAAUGGCCGUAUCGGGGCGUUUGCUGGUAACCCAACAGACUCUGCCCACGUCUCCCAAGACGCCAACUCGAUUUGCAUGCGUGGUGCAAACCGCUCGCCGAGCGCCAGGCUUCAGGCCUGGGAUUGCAAAAGCUUGGAGGGCCACCCCCUUCCCGGUUCACACCGCGAGCGCCUAAGAGGAUUUAGAAUCAAGUGGGCACGUUUGCAGGCCUCGUUGUGAAGAGGCAGCUGGAGCGCGGCGCAGCCCCCCGCGCCCCAGGGCUGCAUUGUCCUCCGAGGGGCCGCCGCCGGGCUCCUUUGUGCGCGGGGCCGGCCCUGCCCUCCCGCCCGGGGCCCCGCGGGCCUCCUCCCCGACCUCUCCCCCUCACCCCCCCACAACCACGCAGACUGCUCCCUCCGGCCCCCGACCCGCCGGCUGCCGCGGGCCCCGCGCCGAGGAGCGGGCAGGGCGGGCAGACCAUCUGCACCGAGACGGACUGCGGCCCCGGAAGGUCAGCGCCCCGACGAUCGCCGUCUGAACAGCAGGCCACCCAGGCCUCCCAGCAACACAGGGACAUCUGCUCCCCUUCAUUCAGAGCCCGGGUUCCGAUUUCACCAACUCCCCCCACCCCCUGCUCCCGGCUGACUCGGGCUCCCGGGAGUGCAACGGGGACAGGAGGGGCAGAGCAGACGCGCCGCCCGCCCCCUGCUCCCCGCUUCAGAGCAGAGCAGCUGAGUCCGGCGUGGCGGGGGAGGGGGUCACCCACGUGACCGGGGUGACGUCGUGCCGGGGAGGGGCGGCCAGGCCAAGGGGUGGCGGCGGCGGCGGGGGUCGCAGAGACUGAGACGCGCAGGUGCGUCCUGGGUUUGCGGAGGGGUUGGACCGGGGGAUCCCACCCUGCUAGGAGAGAUCGGGCAGCUCCGCCGCCUGCCCCGCUCAGGACAGAUGGGUUUAACCGCCCCCCUCAUCCCAGGCUGGGAAGAACCAGUGAAUGCGCGGGAAAGUUUGUAGCGAGCAGAGGCAGGCAUUCCUCGUGCGGAGCUCCGGACCCACAGUUGUAAAGCUAGCGGUCUGCGGGUAAGGCCAGGCUCUAGCCUGGAUGGUUGACACCCAAACUCGUCCUGCCUUUUCUGCUUUACCUUUGGGCGAAAAGAUGGAAGGAUGAAAGAAUUGCAUUUCUGUUGUGUUUCCACCCCUUGAUCAUAAACGCCCUGAACACAGAAACGCUGCAUCUUAUUCAUCUUUGUCUCCUCCG